Molecule: ribosomal RNA, 512 nt
Filed under: uncultured bacterium
Lineage: Bacteria
Description: partial 16S ribosomal RNA
Rfam family: Bacterial small subunit ribosomal RNA
Source: RNAcentral
GAUGAACGCUGGCGGCGUGCCUAAUACAUGCAAGUCGAACGAAACUUCUUUAUCACCGAGUGCUUGCACUCACCGAUACAGAGUUGAGUGGCGAACGGGUGAGUAACCCGUGUGCAGCCUGCCCAAAAGAGGGGGAUAACACUUGGAAACAGGUGCUAAUACCGCAUAACCAUAGUUACCGCAUGGUAACUAUGUAAAAGGUGGCUAUACUACCGCUUUUGGAUGGGCCCGCGGCGCAUUAGCUAGUUGGUAGGGUAAAGGCUUACCAAGGCAAUGAUGCGUAGCCGAAUUGAGAGGGUGAUCGGCCACAUUGGAACUGAGACACGGCCCAGACUCCUACGGGAGGCAGCAGUAGGGAAUCUUCCACAAUGGGCGAAAGCCUGAUGGAGCAACGCCGCGUGGGUGAAGAAGGUCUUCGGAUCGUAAAACCCUGUUGUUAGAGAAGAAAGUGCGUGAGAGUAACUGUUCACGUUUCGACGGUACCUAAACAGAAAGCCACGGCUAACUACGUG